GUGAGGAAUAUUGGUCAAUGGGCGGGAGCCUGAACCAGCCAAGUCGCGUGAAGGAAGAAGGAUCUAUGGUUCGUAAACUUCUUUUGCAGGGGAAUAAAGUGCAGGACGUGUCCUGUUUUGUAUGUACCCUGAGAAUAAGGAUCGGCUAACUCCGUGCCAGCAGCCGCGGUAAUACGGAGGAUCCGAGCGUUAUCCGGAUUUAUUGGAUUUAAAGGGUGCGUAGGUGGUUUGAUAAGUCAGCGGUGAAAGUUUGCAGCUUAACUGUAAAAAUGCCGUUGAAACUGUCGGACUUGAGUGUAAAUGAGGUAGGCGGAAUGCGUGGUGUAGCGGUGAAAUGCAUAGAUAUCACGCAGAACUCCGAUUGCGAAGGCAGCUUACUAAGCUACAACUGACACUGAAGCACGAAAGCGUGGGGAUCAAACAGGAUUAGAUACCCGGGUAGUCC
This 445-nucleotide ribosomal RNA is filed under the name uncultured bacterium. RNAcentral's name for it is "partial 16S ribosomal RNA". It matches the Rfam family "Bacterial small subunit ribosomal RNA", at positions 354 to 796 of the family's 1533-position model. The record is from RNAcentral.